Non-coding RNA from Acanthosepion pharaonis, 103 nucleotides. The record is from the annotation of a GenBank genome assembly. NCBI's taxonomy places the organism in Eukaryota, Metazoa, Mollusca, Cephalopoda, Sepiida, Sepiidae.
UCAUAUCACGUUGAAGCACCGGUUUUCAUAUAAUCACUGAAGUUAAGCAACGUCGUGUCAGGUCAGUACUUAUAUGGGUGUCCACUUAGGAAUUCCAAGUGCU